CGCGCCUUAGAGUAAGGGUAGCUUAUCGGUCUCCUUAGCCGAUGGUCCUGGUUCGAGUCCAGGGGGCGCAA
RNAcentral lists this transfer RNA (71 nucleotides) under Anaerostipes butyraticus. It matches the Rfam family "tRNA". From Rfam's summary of the family: Transfer RNA (tRNA) molecules are approximately 80 nucleotides in length. The record is from Rfam by way of RNAcentral. Lineage: Bacteria; Bacillati; Bacillota; Clostridia; Lachnospirales; Lachnospiraceae.